RNAcentral lists this long non-coding RNA (329 nucleotides) under Parus major (Great Tit). RNAcentral describes it as "lncRNA (ENSPMJG00000010942.1)". Lineage: Eukaryota; Metazoa; Chordata; Aves; Passeriformes; Paridae. The record is from RNAcentral.
AGAUCAUGUAAAAUUGACCUGAACGAAUGAGUUUACAAUUCCUUCUCUUCACGACUUUUGUAGUCUUUCUGAUUUUUUACGUUGGAGACUGAAAGAACCACCUUCCUGAGUAUUUAUCAGAAUGUCCCUUCAAUCUUAUGAAAGUGGAACUGUAAAACCAAAGGAAAACAGUUCAGAAGUAUUUUCUGGGCCAAGACAAAACCAGCCUGGAUUCUCUCACCCUUACUCACAGUGAACAGUAGGCUACUCUUCAUAGAACAUCAGUGGAUGCAAGUAAUGAUGCUGUCUGAUCCCAACAAACUCUUAUUCCAAAUGCAGAAGAAAAAAAU